This 301-nucleotide ribosomal RNA is filed under the name uncultured bacterium. RNAcentral's name for it is "partial 16S ribosomal RNA". It matches the Rfam family "Bacterial small subunit ribosomal RNA", at positions 509 to 809 of the family's 1533-position model. The record is from RNAcentral.
CAGCCGCCGCGGGAAUACGUAGGUGGCAAGCGUUGUCCGGAAUUAUUGGGCGUAAAGCGCACGCAGGUGGUUUAAUAAGUCUGAUGUGAAAGCCCACGGCUCAACCGUGGAGGGUCAUUGGAAACUGUUAAACUUGAGUGCAGGAGAGAAAAGUGGAAUUCCACGUGUAGCGGUGAAAUGCGUAGAGAUGUGGAGGAACACCAGUGGCGAAGGCGACUCUCUGGUCUGUAACUGACGCUGAGGCUCGAAAGCGUGGGUAGCAAACAGGAUUAGAUACCCGCGUAGUCCCUGUCUCUUAUAA